This 585-nucleotide long non-coding RNA is filed under the name Homo sapiens (human). RNAcentral's name for it is "non-protein coding lnc-PRDX6-2:1". The record is from RNAcentral. Lineage: Eukaryota; Metazoa; Chordata; Mammalia; Primates; Hominidae.
UUACCAGUAAUCUUACUGCAAGUCCUGGGUCACUGAAGAACUCGGUAAAUAUGAUUAGCAUGCACGCACCAACACAUCACUGUGAUGAAAACGCAAAUCACAGUAUGUGAGUCACUACUCUCAACAUUGCCAUGCCCCUGCCUUAAACCUGCCAGCCCCAUCCAGAGGAUUUUUCUCAUCUCUGAACUCCAAUCAUUUACACCUUCCCCCAUCAGAAUUUACCCUACAUUUUAUUAUAAUUGCAUAUAAAUAUGCCUUCCCUGUAACAGCAGGGACUGUGUUUCUCCACUGUAUGGCCUGGCACAGUGUCCAGCACACAGCAGGCAAAGCAAGAGUUACUGCAUGAGCCAGUGUCAUCAUCCAAACGAUAGCUACCAUUUCCAGAGCACCUACCGUGAGCUGACUAGUUUACCUACAUUAUCCUCCUCUAGGCACAUAACCCUAUUUUAGUUCUCUGAAUACGACUGAUUGCUGUCUAACAUAUUUUGGUUUGUGUGCUUAUUGUCUGUCACCGGUUUCCCUUCACAAGAAGGAAAGCUCCAAGAGGACAGGCAUCUUAUCUACCUUGUACUUGGCUCAUAGCAA